Molecule: long non-coding RNA, 476 nt
Filed under: Gossypium barbadense (sea-island cotton)
Lineage: Eukaryota; Viridiplantae; Streptophyta; Magnoliopsida; Malvales; Malvaceae
Description: long non-coding RNA (GBAR_LNC013722)
Source: RNAcentral
ACCUUUUUAUUCAUCAAAACGUUCAAUUAAAUCCAAAAAUACAUAAAUGGGAAAAUUAUCAUUUUGCCCCUAACAUUUUACACUUUUUGCAAUUUAGUCAUUUUUGCUCAAAACACAAAAUACACAAAAUUUGACUACACUCCUUUAGGGCCAAAUAUUCAUAGUAUAUUUACAAGCCCACACAUUUCAUUUAUUUCACAUUUUAACCCCUCAAAAAUUUAUUUUUACAAUUUAACCCUAAUUACUCAAAUUCAUCAAAAAUUCAAAGACAAAACAUAUUAAUCUUUCACAUAUCUUUCAUAUUUCAUCAUCAACUAUCACAAAGCUCAAGCAUUCAUCAAUGGUACAUUUCAAAAUCAUCAACAAUUCAUAAAAUUAAGGCAUGGGUUUUAAAGUAUUCGAAGCAACGAUCUCAAAAACGUAAAAAUUAUCGAAAACCGAACAAAAACGAACCUUGAAUUUAAGCUUGAAUAUGG